CUCUUUAGCUUGGCAUUUGAAUCGGCUUUGCUGUUGCGAAGUAGAGUGGCGGCUUCGGCUGCCGAGGGUCGAUCCAUUUGGGAAAUGUUGUGUACUUCGGUAUGCAUCUCAAUUGGACCUGAUAUCAGGCAAGAUUACCCGCUGAACUUAAGCAUAUUAAUAAGCGGAGGAAAAGAAACUAACAAGGAUUCCCCUAGUAACGGCGAGUGAAGCGGGAAGAGCUCAAGCUUAAAAUCUCCGUGCAAGUUUUGCGCGGCGAAUUGUAGUCUAUAGAGGCGUGAUCAGUGUGGGCGCUUGGGGCAAGUUCCUUGGAAGAGGACAGCAUGGAGGGUGAUACUCCCGUUCAUCCCUGAGUUGCUCGUGCGUACGAUCCGUUUUCUUUGAGUCGCGUUGUUUGGGAAUGCAGCGCAAAGUAGGUGGUAAAUUCCAUCUAAAGCUAAAUAUUGGUGCGAGACCGAUAGCGAACAAGUACCGUGAGGGAAAGAUGAAAAG
Molecule: ribosomal RNA, 492 nt
Filed under: Phytophthora infestans T30-4
Lineage: Eukaryota; Oomycota; Peronosporomycetes; Peronosporales; Peronosporaceae
Description: 28S ribosomal RNA
Rfam family: Eukaryotic large subunit ribosomal RNA (bases 115-492)
Source: RNAcentral